RNAcentral lists this ribosomal RNA (470 nucleotides) under uncultured bacterium. RNAcentral's name for it is "bacterial SSU rRNA". It matches the Rfam family "Bacterial small subunit ribosomal RNA", at positions 30 to 498 of the family's 1533-position model. The record is from RNAcentral.
AUUGAACGCUGGCGGUAUGCCUUACACAUGCAAGUCGAACGGUAGAGGAGCAAUCCUCGAGAGUGGCGAACGGGUGAGUAAUACAUCGGAACGUGCCCAGUCGUGGGGGAUAACGUAGCGAAAGCUACGCUAAUACCGCAUAUUCUGUGAGCAGGAAAAGCAGGGGAUCGCAGGACCUUGCGCUGAUUGAGCGGCCGAUAUCAGAUUAGCUAGUUGGUGGGGUAAAGGCCUACCAAGGCGACGAUCUGUAGCGGGUCUGAGAGGACGAUCAGCCACACUGGGACUGAGACACGGCCCAGACUCCUACGGGAGGCAGCAGUGGGGAAUUUUGGACAAUGGGGGCAACCCUGAUCCAGCAACGCCGCGUGAAUGAAGAAGGCCUUAGGGUGUAAAGUUCUUUUGUCAGGGAAGAAAAGGCUUGUGCUAAUAUCACAAGCUGCUGACGGUACCUGAAGAAUAAGCAACCGGCU